GGACAACCUGCCCUUAGGUUGGGUAUAAACCCGGGAAACUGGGUAUAAUACCCGAUAGGUCUCGAUUGCUGGAAUGCAUCGAGAUUUAAAGCUCCGGCGCCUAAGGAUGGGUCUGCGGCCUAUCAGGUAGUAGUGGGUGUAGCGUACCUACUAGCCUACGACGGGUACGGGUUGUGAGAGCAAGAGCCCGGAGAUGGAUUCUGAGACACGAAUCCAGGCCCUACGGGGUGCAGCAGGCGCGAAAACUUUACAAUGCUGGCAACAGCGAUAAGGGAACCUCGAGUGCCAGGUUACAAAUCUGGCUGUCGAGAUGCCUAAAAAGCAUUUCAUAGCAUGGGCCGGGCAAGACCGGUGCCAGCCGCCGCGGUAACACCGGCGGCUCGAGUGGUAACCGUUAUUAUUGGGUCUAAAGGGUCUGUAGCCGGCCGGAUAAGUCUCUUGAGAAAUCUGGCAGCUUAACUGUCAGGCUUUCAGGAGAUACUGUCUGGCUCGAGGCCGGGAGAGGUGAGAGGUACUUCAGGGGUAGGGGUGAAAUCUUGUGAUCCUUGAAGGACCACCAGUGGCGAAGGCGUCUCACCAGAACGGACCUGACGGCAAGGGACGAAAGCUAGGGGCACGAACCGGAUUAGAUACCCGGGUAGUCCUAGCCGUAAACGAUACUCGCUAGGUGUCGGCCACGGUGCGACCGUUGUCGGUGCCGUAGGGAAGCCGUGAAGCGAGCCACCUGGGAAGUACGGCCGCAAGGCUGAAACU
Molecule: ribosomal RNA, 753 nt
Filed under: uncultured Methanosaeta sp.
Lineage: Archaea; Methanobacteriati; Methanobacteriota; Methanomicrobia; Methanotrichales; Methanotrichaceae
Description: bacterial SSU rRNA
Rfam family: Archaeal small subunit ribosomal RNA
Source: RNAcentral